RNAcentral lists this ribosomal RNA (496 nucleotides) under uncultured freshwater bacterium. RNAcentral describes it as "bacterial SSU rRNA". It matches the Rfam family "Bacterial small subunit ribosomal RNA", at positions 8 to 495 of the family's 1533-position model. The record is from RNAcentral.
AGAGUUUGAUCCUGGCUCAGGAUGAACGCUAGCGGCAGGCUUAAUACAUGCAAGUCGUGGGGCAGCAGGUUUGUAGCAAUACAAAUGCUGGCGACCGGCAAACGGGUGCGUAACACGUACGCAACUUACCCAUUACAGGGGAAUAGCCCAGGGAAACUUGGAUUAAUACCCCAUAUUAUAUAGGAUUGGCAUCAGUCUUAUAUCAAAGCUUCGGCGGUAAUGGAUGGGCGUGCGGUUGAUUAGAUAGUUGGCGGGGUAACGGCCCACCAAGUCUACGAUCAAUAGCUGAUGUGAGAGCAUGAUCAGCCACACGGGCACUGAGACACGGGCCCGACUCCUACGGGAGGCAGCAGUAAGGAAUAUUGGGCAAUGGACGAAAGUCUGACCCAGCCAUGCCGCGUGAAGGAUGAAGGACCUCUGGAUUGUAAACUUGUUUUAUCUGGGGCGAAAAUCACCCUUUGUAGGGUGCUUGACAGUACCAGAGGAAUAAGCACCG